UACGUAGGGCGCAAGCGUUGUCCGGAAUUAUUGGGCGUAAAGAGCUCGUAGGCGGCUUGUCACGUCGGGUGUGAAAGCCCGGGGCUUAACCCCGGGUCUGCAUUCGAUACGGGCAGGCUAGAGUGUGGUAGGGGAGAUCGGAAUUCCUGGUGUAGCGGUGAAAUGCGCAGAUAUCAGGAGGAACACCGGUGGCGAAGGCGGAUCUCUGGGCCAUUACUGACGCUGAAGAGCGAAAGCGUGGGGAGCGAACAGG
This 253-nucleotide ribosomal RNA is filed under the name uncultured bacterium. RNAcentral describes it as "partial 16S ribosomal RNA". It matches the Rfam family "Bacterial small subunit ribosomal RNA", at positions 524 to 776 of the family's 1533-position model. The record is from RNAcentral.